ACCAUAGAUUUAGAUUAAUUAAUUUUAAGUCUUAUUUUACUCUUAUUAUAUUUAUCUGUUUUUCAGCUACAGUAAUUGAUGUUAAAAAACUGAUGCUACCAAUCACUCCUCACUUGAUUGUUCAAGCCCAAAUUGUGAUGGACCUGGAAUGCGACACCAGUUACUCUUAAGACAAGAACCGAAUAAAGCACAGAUGUGGAGGGAUUUGCAGCCAAACUAACUGGAGGGAAGGAACCUUUAGUGUGGGUGAACAUACUACCUGGAUGUCCAACAAAGGCUGCACAAGAGCUCAUUUGAUAGCACAUAUUCUGUCCUGUCUACAUCUCUGAUGACCUGGAAGUGCUUCGACAUCAGAUCAUCAUCAUGCUGCUGCCCUUUUUCACUGUCCCUUUCCACAUCAUUUGGCCUUCAUCAUUUCCUGUCUUGUAGCAGUAUUUUCACCUGUUUUUAAAAUUGUAAUAAUUUUUGAUGCAUUAAUUGUUGACUGGUUUUAAUGAUCAAUUGUUUAUUAGUGUUCUGUUGCUCUGUUAUAUUGAAUUACUGCUACUGUUUUAGCAUGGUUUACACAAUAAACCUUUAUUGUGAA
Molecule: non-coding RNA, 586 nt
Organism: Danio rerio (zebrafish)
Lineage: Eukaryota; Metazoa; Chordata; Actinopteri; Cypriniformes; Danionidae
Source: Ensembl